GCCACAAUAUAGAAACACAAUUCCACAUACCACAAAUAAAGAUGAAAAAGGGCAAUCAUAUGAUCAGAGUUUGAUUAAGCCUCCAAUGGGUAUGACCGCAUCUGUUCCAGAAACGCACUCAUCUUCAACAAAUGGAAUGGUUUUCCAUGCGGUUAAUCUUACUGGAACUUUCAUCCCAACUUUGAUGGAUUUAUCUUUUUCCAUGCAAAUAGCAGCAUAAUGAGAACCGACCAAUUCUAAUAGGGCAAACUGCCAACUGCUUGUGAGGCUCUUAGGAUCAUUU
Molecule: unclassified non-coding RNA, 283 nt
Filed under: Hevea brasiliensis (rubber tree)
Lineage: Eukaryota; Viridiplantae; Streptophyta; Magnoliopsida; Malpighiales; Euphorbiaceae
Source: RNAcentral